AUGGUGGUAACGGGUAACGGGGUGUUAGGGCACGACACCGGAGAGGGAGCCUGAGAAACGGCUACCACAUCCAAGGAUGGCAGCAGGCGCGCAAAUUACCCAAUCCCGACACGGGGAGGUAGUGACAAGAAAUAACAAACCAGGGCUCUUACGAGUCUUGUUAUUGGAAUGAGUACGAUUUAAAUCUCCUAACGAGGAACAAUUGGAGGGCAAGUCUGGUGCCAGCAGCCGCGGUAAUUCCAGCUCCAAUAGCGUAUAUUAAAGUUGUUGCAGUUAAAAAGCUCGUAGUUGAAUUUCGGGAUUGGCGCAUCGGUCGUGCCUCACGGGGUAUGAACUGGUGCAGUCAAUUUCUCACCUUCUGGAGAACCGCGAUGUCCUUAAUUGGAUGCCGCGGGGAACCAGGACCUUUACUUUGAAAAAAUUAGAGUGUUUAAAGCAGGCAUUUUUGCUUGAAUACAUUAGCAUGGAAUAAUAAAAUAGGACGGCAUGGUUCUAUUUUGUUGGUUUCUAGGACCACCGUAAUGAUUAAUAGGGAUAGUUGGGGGCAUUAGUAUUCAAUUGUCAGAGGUGAAAUUCUUGGAUUUAUUGAAGACUAACUACUGCGAAAGCAUUUGCCAAGGAUGUUUUCAUUAACCAAGAACGAAAGUUAGGGGAUCGAAGACGAUCAGAUACCGUCGUAGUCUUAACCAUAAACUAUGCCGA
Molecule: ribosomal RNA, 702 nt
Filed under: uncultured Glomeromycotina
Lineage: Eukaryota; Fungi; Glomeromycota
Description: SSU rRNA
Rfam family: Eukaryotic small subunit ribosomal RNA
Source: RNAcentral